GGAGCAGCAAGCCGAGCCGGCCGGCCGGCACCUGGUGUUUGGUUGGUGAGGAGAUGGCGUCGCCGUCGGCGUCGCGGCGCGUGACCGGAGGCGGCAGCUACAUCGCGUCGUGGCUCGUCAAGCUCCUCCUCACCCGGGGCUACGCCGUGAACGCCACCGUCCGUGAUCCAGGCGACCCCAAGAACGCCCACCUGGGCCGGCUGGACGGGGCAGCGGGGAACCUGCGCCUGUUCAAGGCCGACAUGCUUGACCCCGACGCGCUGGCGACCGCGGUCGCCGGGUGCGAGGGGGUCUUCCAUGUCGCGUCUCCCGUGCCCUCGGUUAAGGCUGUCGACCCUGAGUCAGUGUACAUGAGCCACAUUUCGUAGCAGAGUUCCCUGAUACACUACUGUGAAGAUGCAAGUUUCUUACCGGAAUUGUGUAUCCUAUUGAGUUUUACUCAUUAAGCAUCGGAUAUUUCUAAUUGUUUGCCUUGACCCUUAACAAUGCAGUCAGAAGUAUUGGCACCAGCUGUUAAAGGCACCUUGAACAUUCUUCAGGCUUGCUCAGCUAACAAUGUUCAGAAGGUGGUUGUGGUUUCAUCCACUUCUGCCGUUCAUUUUAACCCGAAUUGGCCUCAAGGCAAGCCGAAAGAUGAAAGUUGCUGGUCAGACAGAGAUUUAUGCUUGAAGAACAAGGUUAGUUUGUUGGGGCACUGAAUUGCUGUCAGUAAAGGAAGUUCACCAGAGCACCACAAAGCACAUGCUUGAAGAUGAACAUCUAAUUUAGUUUGCUUAUUAGACAGAUGCUCCCAAUUGAUUUUCUAGUUUCUGAUUAUAAGUAUAUUUCAGUUAGCAAUUCUUGUUACUACUGAUUGCUACUAGGGAGGAUUAGGCUAAUCCUAACCUUGUUCGGCUGGCUGGACUGGUAUAUGGCUGCCAAGACUCUUGCCGAAGAGAAAGCCUUGGAGUAUGCAGAGAAAAAUGGACUAAAUGUUGUUACAGUUUGCCCUUGUCUGGUUUUAGGCCCACUCCUGCAGCCAGCUGUUAGUGCCAGCAAUGAAUUCUUCAUCUAUGUUAUAAAAGGUUGUGUAUGUAUUUUUCUGUUACUUACCAUUCAUUGUUCUUUAUUAUCAGGAUAGCUAGCCCAUUAACACAUGCUCCUGCACAAACUAAUAACUGUAAACUUAGGCCACGUUAGUAUUAGAAGUUCAUAUAUAAAUUUAGACUCACAGUUAACCAAAUUUGUUUAUCCUUGUGCUCUUUUUAUUUAUUUUAACACAAUACCCAUAUAGAUACUUUGUAAUCUCUAUCCGGUUGAUGAUAAGCUUUGGCUACCAAUUACUCGGUUCAUUAUCUUCCCAUUCAUAUUCUUUUUUUCUUCGCAUGUUAAUUAAGUUGAAACUCUAGUGCUUACUAUACCUCUUGUUAAAAAAUUCUUUAUAUAUUUUACUAAGAAUAUGGAUUCUAGGUCCUAGACUCACUCUUUGUUACUGUGAUAGCAUAAACAGGCAUCUCAGCCUGCACCACAACGCUUAAGAUGUUCGAUUUGCACUAUCAAAGAAUUAUGAGUGUAAUGGUAUUUUUUUUUCUUAUAGAAGUAUACCAUUGAAUUUCAACUAACAUAAUUUAUUGUCAUGGAGUACUAAUAUAAUUAUAUUUAAAAUGCAUUGCUAUAAACUUAUAAUUAUAUUUAAGAAACAGUUUUAUGAUCGCUAAACUAUGAAAAAUAUAUUUAUCGUUCAUGCAUCAUGAGUCUAUAUGGUCUGAAUUGCGGAUUGCGGCACAUAGCGUUACCAGAUCAAUGGUUGGAUGUUUCUGUUUUUUUUUGUCAUAAUUGCUAGGAUUUAUCUCUUUUUAUAAUGCAUUUUGUGAGGACUAACGUGGAGGCUUUACAAGGAAUAUCCAUUUAGUAAUAGUAAGAAUACAUGUAUGUAUGGUGAUUUCAGUGUCUUUGAUUGGGAAACAUACUGGUAUUAAUAACCAAGUGUAUGGUUGAAGUUUUAGAUGGGAUCAGAGUACACUGGCAGUAGUGUUAGUUUCCUCUCUUGAAUUACAUUCAAGGAAGAUCCUUCAUGGUAUUGUCAUCAUCUUGGGUUACUGACUUACUGGGGCCUUGAGUACUGGAUGGACCCCUAGACGCCGACGUGUUCUACACCUACAAUGUGUACACAGUUUCUCUCUCAUGUAAAUUAUCAGGAAAAACAAUAGUUUAUUUCAGAAAAAGUAACCAUUCUCUACCUUCUAAUGUAAACUUCUAGCAUCUGAUAUCUUUUCAGCAGUGACUGUAGGUAUCUCUAUUCAUUGUUAAUUCUAAUAUUAAAUCAAGUAUGUUUUUAUUUUCUAUUUUGUCGUGGUUCUGCUGAAUCAUACUCAUUCCUCUUAAAUGCACGCUAAACUACAAUAGUUUACAUGGCUUAACUACAGAAGUUUACGUAACACUGCUGAAUUCUCUUAGCUUGAUUAUAUUAAGGAGGUCCUACUAUAAUGAACAACUUGCUGUGGCAUGUAGUUAAUGUCCGUGAUGUGGCUGAUGCUUUGCUCCUGGUAUACGAGAAAGCGGAAUCAUCUGGGAGAUACCUCUGUGCACCAGAUCGAGUUAGCACAAAAGAUCUACUGAACAUUUUGAAGAAAACUCACCCUAACUACAACUGCGUAAACUGUGACAAUGAUUCGGAUCUUAAAUCUAUAAUCACACGAAUUACGUCGGAGAAACUGAAGAAUCUGGGCUGGAAACCAAGGACAAUAGAGGAAACAUUGUCUGAUAGCAUUGAAUACUACGAGAAGGCAGGGCUUCUGCAGGAUGUGGAGGGAUGUCCUUGCCGUCUUCCUCAUCCUUUUCAUCUGGCUAUAGAUAAAUGAAACAAACUGUUUAUUGCUUCUCCUUUUAUCUAAUUACACAGAACAUUGUUGAUUGAUACAUUAUAUCAUACACCAAUAAUGCAUAUGUGUUGAGGGACUUGCUUUAAUUGUUCACUGUCAGCUAGAUGUAGUUGUGUACAAUGAUUGUUCACAUCACCCAUUCAAUAUAGAAUGAGUUAUCUGUAUGUACUC
Setaria italica (foxtail millet) is the source of this 3032-nucleotide RNA transcript. It is a transcript of the gene named cinnamoyl-CoA reductase 2, with no coding region annotated. The transcript is spliced from 4 exons. The record is from RefSeq and is a predicted model, not a curated record. NCBI's taxonomy places the organism in Eukaryota, Viridiplantae, Streptophyta, Magnoliopsida, Poales, Poaceae.